This is a long non-coding RNA of Coturnix japonica (Japanese quail), 620 nucleotides long. The record is from Ensembl. NCBI's taxonomy places the organism in Eukaryota, Metazoa, Chordata, Aves, Galliformes, Phasianidae.
AAAUCAAAUUUCCAAACAGGUAAACAUCGACUUCACCACUUUUUUUCUUUUACUUUUCUACUUUUAGCUGGUGCUGUGUGGCAGAGAACCACUUAUGUGCAGAAAUGAUCACCUAUCCAUUUUUUCCCCCUUUUCUGGGUGGAAUUGUUUUUCCCAGUUGAAGCAAGGGAUUUCACUCUGCUUUUCCGCUCAACUAUUUCCAAAUUGGUUUUAAUCUACAUCAUGGCCUGGUAUGGUUUACGUUGCAGAAAUGUUUGGACUACGCCAAGGGCAAACGAAUCUAGGAUGGAAUGACUGGAGCAUCUUUCUCUGCCACGGAACUUGCCCACAAGCUAGCAUGACUUUGAAGACUAGGAGACAUCUGCCAGUUGAAACAAGCUGUGAUGAUGCAAUAACAAUGAUAAAUAAACUUCCUUGAAGCUCAGUAGGCUUCUGAGCUUCUACAAUAAGUAAUUAAAAAAAGAAUAACUGAGGUUUUUAGGUGCUUUCAUCUUCCAUUUACUACUCUAGUUUUCCCUACUUCAGGCUGAAACUGUAAUAUUGCUUUUCUUCUAACUACCCUCUUUCCUAUUUUCCUUUUUCAUCCAAUUGAUAUCUAAAUAAAUUCAACUACCUAUACA